RNAcentral lists this long non-coding RNA (1055 nucleotides) under Takifugu rubripes (torafugu). RNAcentral's name for it is "lncRNA (ENSTRUG00000033291.1)". The record is from RNAcentral. Lineage: Eukaryota; Metazoa; Chordata; Actinopteri; Tetraodontiformes; Tetraodontidae.
CUGAGUGUUUGUAGGAUUUGUUCUUACCUACGCAUAAAUCCAGGAUAAGAAGAAAUUGGUGAAUGCCACAAUCUUCGUAAAAUGUUCGUAAGUGGGACUUAAGAACAAAUUUGUUCGUAAGAACGUUUCGUGAAUCUGGCCCAGGCUGAGCGGAGCAGCUUCCAGACUCUCCCCCGUCGGGCGAUUGACACACACCUGUAAAUGAUCUCCAGCCAAUCAUCCACACCUGCUGUUCGCUUUAAAAGCCUGUUCAACUCUCCAAUCAUCGCCAAUUCGUUGUUAACCCCCCCAUGGUACAGCCUGGAUUCUCAAACGCCGUAUGCAAGUUUGUGUUUUCGUUCCUGUUUUCCAGUUUGGAACUGAUUGUUCGUCUCUCCCGCAGAUCGCCUUUCGGACGCCUGUUCGCGCUGCCCAGCCUGCUCCAGCUUGACCAUGUUUGUCUGCUUUCAGCACCACUUAGUUUUGCUCUGAACCAGAUUUUCACUGCAGCAGAAAAGGCCAAAAGACCUGUGAAACAGAGCCGGCCAGCUUCUGCACACAAGUAUGUCAGACGCACCACUCCAUCGUUGAUGGCAAGAUCGCUGUCUGAACCACACAUCGAGGUUCCGGUAGCGGCUCCCGAGAGGACAACCGCCGUGAUGGAUGCAGCGCCUCAGCCCUGUCGGCCCACAGCAACAUCGGCAGCACAACCGGAGGUGACAUACGAGCGAUGGCACCAAAUGUGGGAGUCUGCUCCCAAUGGGCUGAUGUUGCAUGGCUGAAAGAGAAUGAAACCAAUGGACUCUUCCAGAGGGCUGCAUCCUUUCAGGACAAACAUGAAAAGAUGAAGUGGAGGAAGGUCCUGAAGGAUGACAGGAUGUGGUUUCAUCCUGUGGUUUCAGACAUACUGUCCAAACAGCAAAAAGUCAUCUCCAGGACUUGAAGGCCAGACUUUUGACACUUUUGCAGACUUUCAAAGGGCUGUGGACAUUCUUUUGGGACCUAAUUUCCAGGUGUAAGCAAAGAAAAUUGGAGUGUUUUAUUGACUGCACUUGACAAUAAAUGCUUCUUUGAAU